AUUGCCCUAGUAACGGCGAGUGAAGCGGCAACAGCUCAAAUUUGAAAUCUUGGCCCUCGGGUCCGAGUUGUAAUUUGUAGAGGAUGCUUUUGGUGAGGUGCCUUCCGAGUUCCCUGGAACGGGACGCCAUAGAGGGUGAGAGCCCCGUCUGGUUGGACACCGAGCCUCUGUAAAGCUCCUUCGACGAGUCGAGUAGUUUGGGAAUGCUGCUCUAAAUGGGAGGUAUAUGUCUUCUAAAGCUAAAUAUUGGCCAGAGACCGAUAGCGCACAAGUAGAGUGAUCGAAAGAUGAAAAGCACUUUGAAAAGAGGGUUAAAUAGUACGUGAAAUUGUUGAAAGGGAAGCGCUUGUGACCAGACUUGAGCCCGGUUAAUCAUCCAGCCUUCUGGCUGGUGCACUUGGCCGGCUCAGGCCAGCAUCAGUUCGGCGUGGGGGAUAAAGGCUUCGGGAAUGUGGCUCCUCCGGGAGUGUUAUAGCCCGUUGCGUAAUACCCUGUACUGGACUGAGGUUCGCGCAUCUGCAAGGAUGCUGGCGUAAUGGUCAUCAGCGACCCGUCUUGAAACACGGACCAAGGAGUCGUCCUCGUAUGCGAGUGUUCGGGUGUCAAACCCCUACGCGUAAUGAAAGUGAACGCAGGUGAGAGCUUCGGCGCAUCAUCGACCGAUCCAGAUGUUCUCGGACGGAUUUGAGUAAGAGCAUACGGGGCCGGACCCGAAAGAAGGUGAACUAUGCCUGUAUAGGGUGAAGCCAGAGGAAACUCUGGUGGAGGCUCGCAGCGGUUCUGACGUGCAAAUCGAUCGUCAAAUAUGGGCAUGGGGGCGAAAGACUAAUCGAACCUU
Molecule: ribosomal RNA, 838 nt
Filed under: Chlamydocillium cf. curvulum CBS 100551
Lineage: Eukaryota; Fungi; Ascomycota; Sordariomycetes; Hypocreales
Description: eukaryotic LSU rRNA
Rfam family: Eukaryotic large subunit ribosomal RNA
Source: RNAcentral